This 235-nucleotide unclassified non-coding RNA is filed under the name uncultured fungus. RNAcentral's name for it is "sequence contains ITS1". Lineage: Eukaryota; Fungi. The record is from RNAcentral.
GUAUUUUCCUUUCUUAUUCCAAGAUCCUCCGAAAAACUUGCGAUGGUCAUGAAAAAUGACGGAGCUACAAAUGGGCCGAUUCGACUUAUCAUCUCCCUACCUCUACGGGUAUAGGAAGCCGCGCUACGCCCUCACUCCCACGGUGCACAGUGUGAAGAUGUGGAAAACCGCGCCUCCCAAUUGGGAGAACGCAUAAUUUUCGCUAAUGAUCCCUCCGCAGGUUCACCUACGGAGA